UACGUAGGGACCAAGCGUUGUUCGGAUUUACUGGGCGUAAAGGGCGCGUAGGCGGCAUGACAAGUCACUUGUGAAAUCUCCGGGCUUAACUCGGAACGGCCAAGUGAAACUGUCAAGCUAGAGUGCAGAAGGGGCAAUCGGAAUUCUUGGUGUAGCGGUGAAAUGCGUAGAUAUCAAGAGGAACACCUGAGGUGAAGACGGGUUGCUGGGCUGACACUGACGCUGAGUGCGCGAAAGCCAGGGGAGCAAACGGG
RNAcentral lists this ribosomal RNA (254 nucleotides) under uncultured bacterium. RNAcentral describes it as "partial 16S ribosomal RNA". It matches the Rfam family "Bacterial small subunit ribosomal RNA", at positions 524 to 776 of the family's 1533-position model. The record is from RNAcentral.